UCUCCCCAUGCCUAACUAUAUCUCUCUCCAACAAUAUCUGCUCUAUCUUUUUUUAACACUCUUCUCUCUCUAUAGCAUUUUCAAUUCUCUCUGCCAUCGACCAAAAUAAAAAAAGAAAAGCAAUAAUACAUCAACCUUAAUUCUUAAAAACCAUAAAGAAACACAUUCAUUCACAUAUGUUUUUUUACAUAAAUUUUUACAUGAACUAAGAAAAAUAGUGAGAGAGGAAUAGACUCUCCCUGUGAGACAAUGAGAGUGAGUGAGAGACAAUCUCCCGAUCUCUCUUUCUCU
This 291-nucleotide long non-coding RNA is filed under the name Amborella trichopoda. RNAcentral describes it as "long non-coding RNA (ATRI_LNC003900)". Lineage: Eukaryota; Viridiplantae; Streptophyta; Magnoliopsida; Amborellales; Amborellaceae. The record is from RNAcentral.